RNA transcript from Cryptomeria japonica (Japanese cedar), 1407 nucleotides. It is a transcript of the gene named transcriptional corepressor LEUNIG_HOMOLOG-like, with no coding region annotated. The transcript is spliced from 8 exons. The record is from RefSeq and is a predicted model, not a curated record. NCBI's taxonomy places the organism in Eukaryota, Viridiplantae, Streptophyta, Pinopsida, Cupressales, Cupressaceae.
UGUAUUGUUGGCGUUUCAUUCAGUAGCAGCUUCCCUUGUUAGCUCCUCUUCGCGAGAUGUCAAUGCCCAGUACUAGUGAAUGUGUUCCCGGUGGGUGUAUCGUAAGUGGUCGAGUGCCUCUGAUAUCUCUCUAUCUAUCGAAGCACGUAAAGACCCAAAUGUCAUAAUCACGGGGCGAGCAAUAUGGAACGGAAGAUCCGGGACAUCUAUAGCAGUGAAUAUCGAUGGCGUUUAUCAGAGAGCGAACGGGUUUUUUGCAAGUUACUUUGAUCCCACUCGGGCACGAAUUCAAGUAGGCUGGGGUUUUACAGAUAAGGACUGAGGCUUCGUUUAGCCCAUCUAAUAGUCUCUGCUCGGAGUUCUAAAAAGUUGAAUAGCCAUAGUGAGCGGAUUCGCCAGUGGAGUAAGCAGAGGAGGCAUAUACAGUGGUAAGAAAGGCGGUUUACCUCACAGAAUGGGACCCAAUCUCAGUUUAACCCGCAACUCUCGCACCGGAACAAAGUUGCUUUCGUGGGAUCAACUACUCUUGCAGUCUGCCUGUUUACAACAGAAGCAACAACCAUCAAAAUAAGCAUGUUAGUAUGCAAGUGCACUUCACAGGCAUUAUAGAGGAAGAAGCCGGAAAGCAAGUCAGGUGCACCUGUAUGAAGAGAAAAUGAGGUUGAAGCUGGUUUAUUGGUAGAGGAGCGUUUGAUAUCACCUUGUACUUGCAGCGGAACACGAGCUUAUGUACAUCUGAAAUGUUUGAGAAGGUGGCAGAAUGUUGUCUUGACGUCGACGAGACUUGGAGCCAGUCGUACAGCUGCUAUAAUUUUGGAAAAAAACGGAAGCACGCAUCUUCUUCAGGAGCAGCAAAUAGCACUGGAACUGGUAUUACUCCUGGUCCUUCAGCGAAUUCAGUGCCUUCAACACCAUCAGCCCACACACCUGGAGAUAUGAUGUCCAUGGCUAGCACCUUAUAGCAGAGCAACAGUGCAUCCAAGAAUUUAAUGAUGCAUGGAUCUGAUGGGACAGGUGGACUUGCUUCGCCAUCAAAUCAGAUGGUAGAUAUGCAUUUUGAGGACUGUACCCUUGAUGAAAACAUAGAAUCAUAUUUUUAGCCUGAUGAAGGAGAAAAAAGAGGAGUCUCAGAUACAAUGAAGAAUCAUAUGACUAGUUCAAAGGGGUUUUCUUUCAAGGAAGUAGGUAACUUACUUCCAAGCACAAAUAAAGUCGUUUGCUGUCAUUUCUCACCAGAUGGCAAGUGGCUGGCAAGUGCUGGGCAUGAUAAGAAGGUUGUUUUAUGGAAUGUGGAGACCAUGAAGCUUAAAAGCGCAUUUACAGAACACAAUCAUUUUAUUACUGAUGUUAGGUUCAGCCCGAAUCCAAAUUGUCAUUUUGUUAUAAAAUGUUCAAAAUUCAUUGUCA